UGGUCGCAGGUUCGAAUCCUGCACGACCCACCAAUUUAACAUCAAACUCAGAUGUUGAACGUGAAGGAUAACGUUGCGUCAGCAACGGCCCGUAGGGCGAGGCGAAGCCGAGUCAUCCUGCACGACCCACCA
RNAcentral lists this small RNA (132 nucleotides) under Salmonella enterica. RNAcentral's name for it is "partial RtT sRNA". It matches the Rfam family "RtT RNA", at positions 33 to 130 of the family's 130-position model. From Rfam's summary of the family: This family represents a bacterial cis-regulatory element known as RtT RNA. Lineage: Bacteria; Pseudomonadati; Pseudomonadota; Gammaproteobacteria; Enterobacterales; Enterobacteriaceae. RNAcentral also lists the same sequence under 5 other names. The record is from RNAcentral.